Molecule: ribosomal RNA, 412 nt
Filed under: uncultured bacterium
Lineage: Bacteria
Description: bacterial SSU rRNA
Rfam family: Bacterial small subunit ribosomal RNA
Source: RNAcentral
CAUGCAAGUCGAACGGCAACCCUUGGAUUCGUCUGGGGGUGAGAGUGGCAAACGGGUGAGUAGCACGUAGGUGACCUGCCCUAGAGUGGGGAAUAACCACUGGAAACGGUGGCUAAUACUCCAUGUGCUCGGUGAUUCGUUUCGCUGAGUAAAGCCCCUGAAAGGGGAGCGCUUUGGGAGGGGCCUGCGGCCCAUCAGGUAGUUGGUAGGGUAAUGGCCUACCAAGCCAAUGACGGGUAGGGGGCGUGAGAGCGUGGUCCCCCACACUGGCACUGAGACACGGGCCAGACUCCUACGGGAGGCAGCAGUCGGGGAUAUUGCACAAUGGGCGAAAGCUAGAUGCAGCGACGCCGCGUGGGCGAUGAAGAUCUUCGGAUUGUAAAGCCCUUUUCUGGGGGACGAGAGAGGACGG